GGGGCGCCUGUGGGAGCCGUGGAGGGAACUUUCCCAGUCCCCGAGGCGGAUCCGGUGUUGCAUCCUUGGAGCGAGCUGAGAGCUCGAGAACCUGCUAAGGCCAUCAAACCUAUUGAUCGGAAGUCAGUCCAUCAGAUUUGCUCUGGGCCGGUGGUACCGAGUCUAAGCACUGCGGUGAAGGAGUUAGUAGAAAACAGUCUGGAUGCUGGUGCCACUAAUAUUGUGCUGGGAUUACAGGCAUGAACCACCGCGCCUGGCCCCCGUUCUCCUUACUGGAUCUAAAGCUUAAGGACUAUGGAGUGGAUCUCAUUGAAGUUUCAGGCAAUGGAUGUGGGGUAGAAGAAGAAAACUUCGAAGGCUUAACUCUGAAACAUCACACAUCUAAGAUUCAAGAGUUUGCCGACCUACCUCAGGUUGAAACUUUUGGCUUUCGGGGGGAAGCUCUGAGCUCACUUUGUGCACUGAGGUGAUAAAAUAUUUUUAUCCAUUCACUUGACCCCUUAGAAAAACCUCUCUGAAAAUUAAUUGGAAUCAUUAUUAUUUACAGUUUUCUGUCUCAAUAUCUCAGCUUCCAGCUUCUGAAUUCUGUUUUGUCUCACUGCCAAUCUAAGUCCUAGUACUUCUGAAAUGUGAGCAAUAAAUGAAUGAAAUGAAGCAAAUAGUAUUGUUAAAAAAAUUGGUUACCCUUAUUAAAACAGUAACUUCUCAA
Molecule: long non-coding RNA, 709 nt
Filed under: Homo sapiens (human)
Lineage: Eukaryota; Metazoa; Chordata; Mammalia; Primates; Hominidae
Source: RNAcentral